Molecule: ribosomal RNA, 1240 nt
Filed under: Escherichia coli
Lineage: Bacteria; Pseudomonadati; Pseudomonadota; Gammaproteobacteria; Enterobacterales; Enterobacteriaceae
Description: bacterial SSU rRNA
Rfam family: Bacterial small subunit ribosomal RNA (bases 1-1003)
Source: RNAcentral
CCGGGGAGCACGACAUCACGGGUUAAGCGCACAGAGACCUUCCUUCAGCUACAUGUUUAACUCCCCGGGUCUCACACUGUGCACCUGCUUCUGCAUAGUGGUCACGCUCGCACCCUACGUACGAGUGGGGGCAGACUCUCCACCGCUGCACCGAUGAAAUGCGUAGACGCAUCUGGCAUGACACCCGGUGGCGAACGCCCCCCCCUGGACUACAUACUCGACCUUAGGUGCGAAAUCCUGUGGACGCCACAGGUAUUACUACCCUGGCUGUCCCCGCCGUAAACGAUGCUUACUCGGAGGUUGCCCCCUCCCCGAGUGGCUUCCGGAGCCAACUCGUUAAGUCGACCGCCUGGGGAGUACGGCCGCCACGUUAAAACUCAAAUGAAUUGACGGGCGCCCGCACUAGCGGAUGGAGCAUGUGGUUUCAUUCCAUGCAACGCGAAGAACCUUACCUGGCCUUGACAUCCACAGAACUUUCCAGAGAUGGAUUGCUGCCUUCCCGAACUGUGAGACAGGCGCUGCAUGGCUGUCGUCAGCUCGUGUUGCGAAACGUUGGGUUAAGUCCCUCAACCACCGCAACCCUUAUCCUUUGUUGCCAGCGGUCCGGCCCGGAACUCACCGGAGACUGCCCGUGAUAAACUGGAGGAACGUCGGGAUGACGUCAAGCCAUCUUGGCCCUUACCACCAGGGCUACACACGUGCUACAAUGGCGCAUACCAAGAGAAGCGACCUCCCGAGAUCAAGCGGACCUCAUAAAGUGCGUCUUAGUCCGGAUUGGAGUCUGCAACUCGACUCCAUGAAGUCGGAAUCGCUAGUAAUCGCGGAUCAAAAUGCCCCGCGGAUACUUUCCCGGGCCUUGUAACACCGCCCGUUACACCAUGGGAAUGGGUUGCAAAACAAAUAGGUAGCUUAACCUUCGGGAGGGGGGCUUACCCUUUUGGAUUCAUGACGGGGGGAAGUCGUAACAAGGGAACCGUAAAAUUNCUCUUUUUNUGCUUAUUUUUUUUAUAUUCAUUAAGUAUAUAUAUCUUUAUCUCAUUGGUUAUAUUUUCAUUUAUUAUUCUUGAUAUCUUUUUUACUCCAAUUCUAUAUUACUGUCAUAUGCAUUAUUAUCUAUUUGCAUCUGAAUUCUUUCAAAUUAUAUUAUACUAUUUUUUUUUCUGCUUUUAUUUUUAUGUCUAUUCUUUCCUUUUCUGUAUAUAUUUUUCUACUCCACUUAAUUAUCUAAUUUUUAAUAUAA